Non-coding RNA from Mycena polygramma, 99 nucleotides. Lineage: Eukaryota; Fungi; Basidiomycota; Agaricomycetes; Agaricales; Mycenaceae. The record is from the annotation of a GenBank genome assembly.
GCUUUUGUAGAUCAAUGCCAGAUCACCUCCACUCGAUACCAGGGCCUGCAAAUGCGAAAUAUUGCGGAGGAAAUGCGGGUUCAACUCCCGCCAAAGGCA